This 511-nucleotide ribosomal RNA is filed under the name uncultured Oscillibacter sp. RNAcentral's name for it is "partial 16S ribosomal RNA". Lineage: Bacteria; Bacillati; Bacillota; Clostridia; Eubacteriales; Oscillospiraceae. The record is from RNAcentral.
CACGUAGUUAGCCGUGGCUUAUUCAAGGGGUACCGUCUUCUACUCUUCCCCCCUUAAAAGAAGUUUACAACCCGAAAGCCUUCUUCCUUCACGCGGCGUUGCUGGGUCAGACUUGCGUCCAUUGCCCAAUAUUCCCCCACUGCUGCCUCCCGUAGGAGUCUGGGCCGUAUCUCAGUCCCAAUGUGGCCGGCCAACCUCUCAGUCCGGCUACUGAUCGUCGCCUUGGUGGGCCGUUACCUCACCAACUAGCUAAUCAGACGCGAGGCCAUCUUCCAGCGAUAAAUCUUUGACAUCAAAGCCAUGCGACUUCAAUGCAUCAUGCGUAUUAGCAGUCGUUUCCAACUGUUGUCCCCCUCUGGAAGGCAGGUUCCCUCACGUCGUUACUCUACCACGUCCGCCAACUAAGCAUUCCCAUCCGUUGUCCGAAAACUCCUUCAGGGGUGCUCCGUUCGACUUGCAUGUGUUAAGCACGCCGCCAGCCGUUCGUCCUGAGUCCGAGGAUCAAACUCUA